GAUGAACGCUAGCGGCAGGCUUAAUACAUGCAAGUCGAGGGGCAGCGCGGGUAGCAAUACUUGGCGGCGACCGGCAAACGGGUGCGGAACACGUACGCAACCUUCCCAUAACUGGUGAAUAGCCUUUCGAAAGAGAGAUUAAUACACCGUAACAUAACGAAGAGGCAUCUCUUUGUUAUUAUAGGCUUCGGCCGGUUUUGGAUGGGCGUGCGCCUGAUUAGGUAGUUGGCGGGGUAACGGCCCACCAAGCCUGCGAUCAGUAACUGGUGUGAGAGCACGACCAGUCACACGGGCACUGAGACACGGGCCCGACUCCUACGGGAGGCAGCAGUAAGGAAUAUUGGUCAAUGGACGCAAGUCUGAACCAGCCAUGCCGCGUGAAGGAUGAAGGUCCUCUGGAUUGUAAACUUCUUUUAUCUGGGACGAAAAAGCUCUUUCUAGAGCACUUGACGGUGCCAGAGGAAUAAGCACCGGCUAACUCCGUGCCAGCAGCCGCGGUAAAG
This 503-nucleotide ribosomal RNA is filed under the name uncultured bacterium. Its description in RNAcentral is "bacterial SSU rRNA". It matches the Rfam family "Bacterial small subunit ribosomal RNA", at positions 28 to 525 of the family's 1533-position model. The record is from RNAcentral.